GACGAAGGGGGCUAGCGUUGCUCGGAAUCACUGGGCGUAAAGCGCACGUAGGCGGACUCUUAAGUCGGUGGUGAAAUCCUGGAGCUCAACUCCAGAACUGCCUUCGAUACUGAGAGUCUCGAGUCCGGGAGAGGUGAGUGGAACUGCGAGUGUAGAGGUGAAAUUCGUAGAUAUUCGCAAGAACACCAGUGGCGAAGGCGGCUCACUGGCCCGGUACUGACGCUGAGGUGCGAAAGCGUGGGGAGCAAACGGG
This 253-nucleotide ribosomal RNA is filed under the name uncultured bacterium. Its description in RNAcentral is "partial 16S ribosomal RNA". It matches the Rfam family "Bacterial small subunit ribosomal RNA", at positions 524 to 776 of the family's 1533-position model. The record is from RNAcentral.